UACGGGGGGAGCAAGCGUUGUUCGGAUUUACUGGGCGUAAAGGGCGCGUAGGCGGUCGUGACAAGUCACUUGUGAAAUCUCCGGGCUUAACGUCGGAACGGUCAAGUGAUACUGUCGGACUAGAGUACAGAAGGGGCAACUGGAAUUCUCGGUGUAGCGGUGAAAUGCGUAGAUAUCAGGAGGAACACCGGUGGCGAAGGCGGAUCUCUGGGCCCUUACCUG
Molecule: ribosomal RNA, 222 nt
Filed under: uncultured bacterium
Lineage: Bacteria
Description: partial 16S ribosomal RNA
Rfam family: Bacterial small subunit ribosomal RNA
Source: RNAcentral